RNAcentral lists this ribosomal RNA (253 nucleotides) under uncultured bacterium. Its description in RNAcentral is "partial 16S ribosomal RNA". It matches the Rfam family "Bacterial small subunit ribosomal RNA", at positions 524 to 776 of the family's 1533-position model. The record is from RNAcentral.
UACGGAGGGUGCAAGCGUUAAUCGGAAUUACUGGGCGUAAAGCGCACGUAGGUGGUUUGUUAAGCCAGCUGUGAAAUCCCCGGGCUCAACCUGGGCACUGCAGUUGGAACUGGCAAGCUAGAGUAGGGUAGAGGGGUGUGGAAUUCCAGGUGUAGCGGUGAAAUGCGUAGAUAUCUGGAGGAACAUCAGUGGCGAAGGCGACGCCCUGGACUCAUACUGACACUGAGGUGCGAAAGCGUGGGGAGCAAACAGG